UGAACCUGAGAGUUUGAUCCUGGCUCAGAGCGAACGCUGGCGGCAUGCUUAACACAUGCAAGUCGCACGAACCUUUCGGGGUUAGUGGCGGACGGGUGAGUAACGCGUAGGAACCUAUCUGGAGGUGGGGGA
RNAcentral lists this ribosomal RNA (132 nucleotides) under Parasaccharibacter apium. RNAcentral's name for it is "partial 16S ribosomal RNA". It matches the Rfam family "Bacterial small subunit ribosomal RNA", at positions 1 to 143 of the family's 1533-position model. Lineage: Bacteria; Pseudomonadati; Pseudomonadota; Alphaproteobacteria; Acetobacterales; Acetobacteraceae. The record is from RNAcentral.